This 669-nucleotide ribosomal RNA is filed under the name Triticum aestivum (bread wheat). Its description in RNAcentral is "partial small subunit ribosomal RNA". The record is from RNAcentral. Lineage: Eukaryota; Viridiplantae; Streptophyta; Magnoliopsida; Poales; Poaceae.
AUGCGGGCCGCGUCUUCGUAUCCUCGGCCAUGCUGGCAGCGAUGCGGUCUGGCGUCGGCGCCGACGGAGUACCCGUCUUCUCCCCUGCAUCGCGAGCGCGGAGCCGUCCUGCCUACAUCGGGGUUGCUCGCCACAUGGCCAACCCGAGGUGGAGACACUGCGACCAGAUUCAUGUAUAGCCAUCUCUCUGGAAUUCUAGAGUGGCCCGCGGACGAGCAGGAGCAGCUGUCUCACAUCUCGAGUUUCUACUGCAGACCGUCCGCAGAGGACGUCUGUAUAGAUCCAAUCGCCAUCGUAUAUCCUUUUUGCAAGUCAUGGGUACCUGCAUGCGUCCCUCCCAAUUACAAUCAGAAUUUCUAUAACAUAGAGGUGAUGGCUCCAGAAAUCAGGCGAUUCAGACAGAGAUGUCGGAGACGGUUGGAGGCUUCCAACAUCUUGCCAAAACAAACUGCUGAGUGCCUACUGCCUAACAAAGAUGAAGAAGCCAUGUCUAUCUUCUCAUCAGAAGGAGCAGUUGAAGGAUGGUUACAUUACUCCCCACAAGACCAAACUAACUUCAGCUCAGAAGGACUGACGAAUCUCCAUUUUUUUGUUGUGAUGCGCGAGUACAAUGUUGUUCUAGGAUUCUUUCUGCUUGAUUUCAAUGGGAACUGCAUAAAAUGUUUAUGA